AUCUCGUGGUGAGGACAACUACGAAGUAACUCAUUAAAUCUUUCUCAUGCAUCAUAUAGGGACUCAUCAUCCAUCUGCUGAAAAGUGGUGAUCUUGUUCUGUAACU
This 106-nucleotide small nucleolar RNA is filed under the name Gossypium hirsutum (cotton). Its description in RNAcentral is "Plant small nucleolar RNA R71". It matches the Rfam family "Plant small nucleolar RNA R71". From Rfam's summary of the family: R71 is a member of the C/D box family of snoRNAs containing the C (UGAUGA) and D (CUGA) box motifs. Multiple nearly identical copies of this snoRNA have been identified in Arabidopsis, and it is thought to function as a 2'-O-ribose methylation guide for 18S ribosomal RNA. RNAcentral also lists the same sequence under 1 other name. Lineage: Eukaryota; Viridiplantae; Streptophyta; Magnoliopsida; Malvales; Malvaceae. The record is from Rfam by way of RNAcentral.